UUCACUUUGGGCUCCCAGAAAUACUUUGAUAAACCAGUGUCAGUAGCAAUUCCUUUCAAAUUCUGGACAACAUGGUAUGCUCUAUCUCGUGAGAUUUCUUCUUUGAAACACAUCGAGAUAGAGAGAAGACAACACCUACAAGUCAGAAGUCACCAUGUCAGAGCCGUAGUAGAAAAGUUUGGCAUUUAAAUGAUCUAAACGGAAGAUAAACGUUGGAGAAAAAUAUUCAGGAAGACGGGAGAAGCUAAUUCAUACUAGAGGUUAUUGGAUCUCUCUGGCGAUGUUGCUGCUGCUAUUUUUGUGCACGGCAGAUCAGUGUUCCGGUGGAAGAGGAUGGAAAUUUUGAGCCCCAGUAACAAUAAACAUAUUUUAUGCCCCUGUAA
Dipodomys ordii (Ord's kangaroo rat) is the source of this 383-nucleotide long non-coding RNA. RefSeq lists it as uncharacterized. The transcript is spliced from 4 exons. NCBI's taxonomy places the organism in Eukaryota, Metazoa, Chordata, Mammalia, Rodentia, Heteromyidae. The record is from RefSeq and is a predicted model, not a curated record.